This 236-nucleotide unclassified non-coding RNA is filed under the name uncultured bacterium. RNAcentral describes it as "contains 16S-23S intergenic spacer region". The record is from RNAcentral.
UUGGCUGCUGUGGCACGAAGCGACCGGGUCGAUCACUUCGGCCAGGUCGGUCAGGUCAGGUUGGCGAACUCGACGCCCUCGAGACUGAACCACAGCCCCGCGAGACUUGGCGUUCGGUUACUUGAACGAGUGACCCAUCUACACCGGACGACAGCAUCAGCGCCAUUCAACCCGUACCGAAUCGGGGGCCGUGGGUAUGCCGUCGCGCUGCCGGAUGGUAACCGUACGCGCCUCUC